This is a long non-coding RNA of Carassius gibelio (silver crucian carp), 839 nucleotides long. RefSeq lists it as uncharacterized. The record is from RefSeq and is a predicted model, not a curated record. NCBI's taxonomy places the organism in Eukaryota, Metazoa, Chordata, Actinopteri, Cypriniformes, Cyprinidae. The transcript is spliced from 3 exons.
CACUCUAAAAACGGCUGGGUUAUUUUUUAACCCAAAAUGCUGGGUUGAGUCUGUUGGGUCAUUUUGUUGGGUUAUUUUAUUUCUUUUUAAACACUUUUGGGUAGUUUCAAUUUACCAGGUGUUGGGUUAACCCUGCUGGGUUGCGUCGCUGGGUUGUUUCAGGCCAGCGCUGGGUUAUUUAACGCGCCUUGAAGAUGUUUAAAUCGCUCCCCAACUGUGAUUUUGGAAGAACAACGGGGCAAAGCCACGGCUUUCAACUGUUUUAAGAAAAGCACAUGGAUACAUUUGUGAGAGAAAAACUCGUCGAGUGCAGUCUUAUUGAGGCGUCUAACGGUUGGAACAAACAUGGAAUUCCUUAACUGAGCAGAGUCCACAAAACCCCAUCCCAUUGUCGUGGUGAUUUAAAAAUGCCAGCAGAUCUCUCAGGCAUUGAUCAUAAUCAAUGGACAGGUAAGGAUAUUCUGGACUAUUUUCAAAAGGAAUUGCAAAUCUUAUAUAUUUAACUGUAUUUUUCCACAUGUGGAUACAUACAUUGUGAAAUAGUCCAAACUCAAUUGAAAAGCAUUUGUAUUUCAGAUGCCUUACACAAAAAGCUGUCAAUUUGUAUCAAGGGUGGAACUAUACUAUGGGGCGUGUUUGUAUUGGGAGAUAUUUUGUAGUUUUUACCCCAAAUCUCUCACUGUAUGCACUCUGAUGCACGUCAGCAAAACAACAUUGCAGUUCUACUCUUAUUUAUCUAUUUGCAUCUUACCCUAUAUUUUAUUCCUCAUGUGAAAAGCAUUUGGUUAAUGGUGAAUAUUGACCAAUAGUACCAUGUGACUCUAACUGUUAGCAGGGGA